UUUCUUAGUAAAUAAUCUGAUAACAUUGCUCUGAUUUUCUUGAUUCUCCAAAUUACCGAUCAAGACGUGUUAUUGCACCACAAUCAUUAGCCAGCACUGGGUUCUUUCUCUUUCUUUUUUAAUCUUUUCACCCUAAAAAAAAGUUCAUUUUCUUGAUGGAAAGAGUACAAUUAUCCAUAUUCCACACAUUUUAUUAGCUUAGAAAUUAAGUUAACCCGGUAAUAGAAUUUCCCAGCUCACCUUGGCAGUUUGUAAUGAGCCAUUUCAUUUCUUUCUGUCCUGAAUGAAGGCUGGCUGACUGCAUCAUAUACAAUGCUUCUGGUCAACAUUAGUUGACCCCACAGUUCACAGAUGUUUCAUAAUAGACUUUUCAUCAUUAUUGCUCUUGAUCAAGAAGAUUCUUUGACCUUUACUGGGCUCCUGGGCCUUCCUAGCAGCCCUUUCUAUUUCAAAGUAAUAAAACCUGAACAGUUUAAAUCUGCCUGGGGGGAGAUCGGGAUGGGAUGGCUGCUCUAGUGCCAGCUCUAUUGGCCGCCGUGUUCCUCUCCCCAUGAGCUAAAUAUGAUCAGUUGUGAGUAAUUAAAACUUUAUUUUGUUCUAAAAUCCUGAUUACUUAAAAGAAAUGUCAAGACUGAACCCAGAAUGAGUUUCCAAUUAACCAUAAAAUCAUAAGUGUUGGAGCUGGAAAGGACCAGAAAGUAUAGUAGUAAGAGCUGUGGCCUUGGGGCUUGCCGGUCCUGGCGCUUGUGUUGGCUGUAAGCAGCUCACUUCUUCUCCCCUCCUCAGUCUCCUUGUUUGUAAAGCUGGAGGGUGUCUCUACAUCAUCUAGCCCUCUUCCAUCAUUUCCAGACAGUGGAGGAUGAGAGCGGUGAACUGAUGGUGCCCAGAGUUCUUAAUCUAGUUAGUGGAAGAAAGAACUGAGAGUCUCUGGGCCUUGACUUCCAGCCAGUGUUCCGUCCCUAACUGUACCCAUACUGCCUCUCUUGAAAUGCCAACUUAGAGUGAAGGUUUCUUUCCUUUUUUUUUUUUUUUUUAAAGGGAGUAACAAAAUAUAUUUUCUAAGGAAAGUCAGUAAUGAACAAAUCAUUUCUAUUUGUUAUUUGCUGCCUAUUUAGAACAAUAAGGGUAAUGGAAUUUUGAGGUCCAUCAAUAUGUGCUGCAUGAACAGUAACAGUUCAUAAUUUGCCAAAUUUAGGGGUGUCACAUGCAGUACCAGGGGUCAGUUGGGGCUCUUGGCUGGGCAGCACCUGAAACAUCUGUCAGCAGAGAGAGGUCACUGAAACUUAACUUUGGGGAACCAUUUUUUAAAAUUAAUUACUCUUGAUGAACUAGAAUAAAGAUAUAUAUCCUGGUGGAUGUGCAUUGGGAGUAUCCCCAUUUAAACAGCAUAACUGAUAGUCCUAUUGAUUACUACAGCAUUAAUAUCAGACUCAGUGACUUUAAUAAUGGUCCCUAAAUGGAAGGGUUGUAUACUAGUAAAUCCUGUGUUAGCUUAUUCUUUUAAAAAAAAAAAAAAAAGUUUAUUAUUAUAUUGCAAAUACUGGUAAAGCACAUUAAAGGGCUGAUGUCAGAUAUUAAACCCCACUCUGUAGAACUGAUAGGAAAACUGCUGAUGUGUGAAUCCUAAAGGGGAUGUCAUUUUACUUUUUGGCAAGGAGGCUGCCUUGAGCCAGCACCCAUCUUGUGGGUCUGGAAAGAGUCUCCUUUUAUUGAUACGAUGGAGUUUUGUUUGAACUCCCCUACCCCGCUCUGAAGCUGUAGUCUGAUAGGUUUGUUUUGUUACCAAGCCAAGGUUGGGUGUUUAGAUGACAUGACAGGAUCCAUUUCAUUUCAGCCUUUUCUUGUAGGAAGAGUGCUAAUUGUGGAAUUCAGAGACUCGGGUUCAAGUUUCCCCUUGGCCUCUAGCAGUUUUUCCAGGAGCAGGUCCCUUUCCUGAUGGGGGGAUCUUAUUAGUCCAUCAUUCCAUAUCCCAUUCUCGGGAUAGAUGGGAGAUUGUUCUAUCCUCCAUCCCUACCCCACGUAACACCAGUGCUGUCUUGUAAAGACAAAAGGAAAAGAUUUAUUCUUACUAGUCUUUUUUCUCCAGUUGAUUACCACUGCAGAACAUUAUCCCCACCCCUCAAGGCCUGUUUCUGUGGAUAUCAACACAGAUCUCUUCUCACUGCUGGAUCUGUUUGUGUGGGAGGUCUGAUAGAUUUUUGUGUUGCCGUGUGUGUUUAGACAAUCUUCCUCUAUACCUGGAAAAAAAAGGUAUCUUGUAAGGAGUGUAGAGUGAAAGUCAAUGGGGGAAAUAUUCAAUGAUUUGUGAUUAUUGUGAAGAAGUGGGAGGUCCCAAAGUGAUGUACAUCUCUUCUUCUUGCAGCCCGACAGCGCGUAUCAAGGUGGAGUCUUCUUUCUCACUGUACAUUUCCCAACAGACUAUCCUUUUAAGCCACCAAAGGUAGAUGUGUAUUUCAAUGAAUGAUCCUUUUUCUCCCGUGUUGGAAAUUUUAAAUCUCCUUCAUUUUGUCAGCAACAGCAUGAGAGUCGACACACUUCAGUUUUAUUGCCUGGCUUCACUGGAAGCUAUGUCUGGUUUUGAUUUAUUGAUUCACUGGUCCCGGAAUGUAUUUAAGAAGCUUUGUGACUCUUGUGUUAUUGUAGUGGCAAGAACUCUGAAAUCUGGGAUAAGAUGCUGACUCUGAGAUUACUACUAGCUAUGUGGCCUUGGAUAAGUCAUCUUCCCUUUUUUUGGGGGGGGACGGGGGAGAGAUGAGGCAAUUGGGGUUUAAGUGACUUGGCCAGAGUCACACAGUUACUAAGUGUUAAGUGUCUGAAGUUGGAUUGGAACUGAUCUUCUUGACUCCAGGGCCAGUGUUCUGUUCAUUGUGGCAUCUAGCUGCCCCAAGCCAUUUAAAUUCUAAGCUUCAGUUCCUGAUUCUUGGGGCUGCUUACCUCAUAGAAUUGGUGCAAAUAGAGACAUGAGCUGUACUUUCUUAUUUGAUGUUUGUAUCAAUGGGGUGUUUGUGGAGGAUCUUUAAGCCAAUUACCUGACUUUAUAAGUCUUGAAUUGAUGAUGUAUAAUUAGAUUUAAUUUUGAUAAUGAUUUAUUAUUAAGACAAUGUGUAUUUGCAUAAUAUAUAAAUACAUUUAGGGCCAGGGAUUUCCCUCGUCUCACUUUGCCAUGAAUUUUGUCUUUUGACUUAGGUAAUCAUUGAAUCAUGAGUUCAUAUUUAAAGAGGGGUGAUGGGAAGAGUCCUUUUGGAUUUCACUGAAAGGGCUUUACUUCAGAACUGUGGAGGGAAGAGUUUCCACACUGGAAGUUUCCUAUCUCCACUCAGGAAAUCAGUUUCUGACUCCCUCUUCUUCAAACUCCAAGCCAAAGCUCUGGCCAUCAGCCUUUUUAGCUCCUAUUGUAUACACAGUUAAUAUUGAUCAGCUUAAGGCUUGGAGAAAUGGGAGAAGAAGAUGAAAAGAAGUAGAGAAAUGGGUGUUUAACAGCCUUUCCCUGGAUUACACUUAUUCUGAUCAGUACUUUGAGGUACCCCAUCCCUUCACUAAAUAUUUUUCUACUAAUAUUACUGGGAUUAAAAAAAAAAAAAAAAAGCUUAUCCCCAAGUGAGUUGAUUGGUACUUUGGUGUUCCUUGUUCAUGGUGGUAUUUUUUUUUUACUCACUAGGUUUUUAUUUUUCUUUAGAUUGCUUUCACAACAAAAAUCUACCACCCAAACAUAAAUAGCAAUGGAAGUAUUUGUCUUGACAUCCUGAGGUCACAGUGGUCACCAGCUCUGACUGUAUCAAAAGUUUUGUUGUCCAUAUGUUCACUACUUUGUGAUCCAAAUCCGGAUGACCCCUUAGUACCAGAUAUUGCACAAAUAUAUAAAUCAGACAAGGAAAAAUAUAACAGACAUGCGAGAGAAUGGACUCAGAAAUAUGCAAUGUAAAUUGGAAGCUUUUUUCCUAUAUCCCAGAGUACUGUAAAUUCUAGGUUUUUUCAAUAUUAGAAGUAAAUCGAGCACCGUUUACUGUUCCAGUGUACCCUGAAACCCUUUGAUUUUUACCCAUUUGAAAUGUGUUUCUGGAGCAAGACAAAACAAACUUCCAAAAAUAACCUUAAGACUGUGAUGAGAGUAUUUAUCCUUUUGUAUGCUUUGCAAAAGACAUUUAUUAUGGUUUUUAAGAUACUUGGACAUCUGCAUCUUCAGCCUACAAGAUCCACAGUGCAGUUGUAAAGCAACCAAAUUAUUUUUUGCUGAUACUAGAUGUUUUUACAUGAGAUACUGUAUGUGUUUGUCUAAGAUGUCGUCAGUUUUAUAAAUCUGUAUUCAGAUUUCAUUCUUUGUUAGCUCACUAUAUAAUUUGUAUUUUUUUACUGUAUAGACUAAAUAUAUUUUAUUUACCAUGUAAGUCAACUCAUUAGACGUUCUCUUCCUGUGCACAGUAUUGACAAAAUACAACUGCUAGUAAUGAAACGAAUGAACGCUUUGCCUCCUUCUCUUGCUUAGGAUAUUCCGUAGACUGAUUGCAGAUUCUUAAAACCUAACAUGAUCUUUUACACUGUAAUUCUCAGUAUGCUGAUUAUGGAGAAACACUUGUUUUGAUUUUGUUGCAUACUUGACUUAAUUUUAUUGCAAUGUGAACUAAUUGCACUGCUAAGUAGGAAGAUGUGUAACUUUUAUUUGUUGCUAUUCACAUUUGAUUUUUUUCGUACGUACGGGCAAUAUAAUAUUCUCACGGACCUUUUACAGAUCUUACUGUAGCUUUUUCCAUAUAAAUAAAAUGCUUUUUCUACUACUUGUCAUGCCUGUUUUUACAACAAGACUCAUUACUAGGUCUAUGAGAAAGGAUCUGAAUAUUGUAUAUAGUUUUGCAUGCAAAUUGUUGAUGAGGAGUACUCCAAAUUUUGAAAAUAAGGUCUGCCUUAUUCAGAGUUCAUGUAUUUAAUUUUCAUUUGUUAUUAUUACAUUUCCUGUAUAAAUCUUGUCUGACAUGAAAUUAGCAUCCCUUAACAGGAAAUCAUUGUACUAACAAAUAAUUCCUGUAACUCUUGCUGUAGAGCAGAAUUCAGAAUAUUGUGGGUCUGUCAUGAUCCUGGUGUUGAGGCGCUUUUGUUUGUUUAUCAAAGAACCAGAAGGAAUCUCUUAGGGAAGAUGAUUUCCCCGUUAUGGUAGGCCUGUGGGAUGGACCCUGAGGAUGGCACUUGUAGACAUGAGGCCUAGUUUAAUGAAUUAGUCAAAGCUAAUAUAUGUCUACAGGUGCAUGUUUUAAAAAUCAGUUUGUUCAGUAGGUCUAACUUUCAUUUUAUCCUCAAUAUUUAACAUAGAAUUACUAAUAUAGUAUUUUAGAAAUGGAUUCUCAAUUUUGAAUUAAAUCGAUUUUUUACUAUAGAAGUUUUAAGAAGACACUAAAAUCAUGCAUGUUUGAGUCUAUUUUUGUGAGUAGCUUGCUUCCGAGCCCCAAAUUGACUUGUGUCAAACUUGCAUUAUUGCAUAACGAAACCUUUGAAGAAAAGACAUUUUCUAAUCAUUUGACUUUACAAGCUAGUACCGACUUCCAUUUGUCUAGUGAGGGACGGUUUUGGAAGCCCUGCAUCAUGCUCUCAUUCGGUCCUCAUGAUGAAGCCCAUGAGGGGAAGCAGGCCGAGCGGGAGCGAACGCUCCCCUUGGACGGAGAUACUUGCACACGGUCACACAGGAAGGGAGUGAUAGAGCCAGAAUUUGAACCCGAGACUUCUGAUUCUAGGGCCAGUGCUAUUCCCCUACACCAAGGUGCUAUUAUUAUUAUUGUUAUUAUUAUUAUUAUUAUUAUUAUUGGUGUUGUUUUCUUUUUUCACCGCCUAUGUCUUUAACACCGUCAUUUUUCCUGUAGUAUUGCAGUGGUUCUCUAAAUGUACACCUCUUUGUGAUGGAUUUAUGACAAUAAUUUAAAUCGGUUGGCUAUCUUCUGGAUAGAAAGUUACAGCACAAAUAAGCUUAUGAAAAAAAUAGAGAUGUCAUGUGUUUUAUAAAUGUAUGUAAAAUAUUUAAAUGAAUUGUGAAAUGGAAACUUAAAAUGUGAUUGUUUAAAAAAAAAAAUCACCUCAUCCUUUGAGUAUUCAUGGUCGAGUCAUCUGAAAGAUACUUUAUAUUCUGGGCUACUUUCUCACUGAAUUUGAAAUGGGGUUGAGGUAGCUAGAACGAAGCUCUUGGUCUCACUGGGGUUGGAUAAUUAAUCUACUUUGGUAGUAAAAGACUUUGUUGGCUGGAAUAUCCUUAUAGCUUUUGUUUUGUGACAUUCAUUUAUGGAAGUAUCAUUUUUUUUCUUGCAU
Molecule: long non-coding RNA, 6285 nt
Filed under: Sarcophilus harrisii (Tasmanian devil)
Lineage: Eukaryota; Metazoa; Chordata; Mammalia; Dasyuromorphia; Dasyuridae
Description: lncRNA (ENSSHAG00000031000.1)
Source: RNAcentral